UUAACAAAUUAUUUUAUGAACAAAAGUCAUUACACCAGAAUACAAACACUACAUCUCCUCCCAGAACUAGACUCCUGCUUCAAUUCCUUUCGAUUUAGAACUUUUCCUCACUCAGCUCCAUAGAUCUAAACUCUUUCUUCUUCUAUUUCUUCCUUUAUUCAUAUUCCCACAUUACACAGACCACGUAAUCCUUCUUCAUUCUUUCACAUGCAUGUUAUAAGCCGUGAGUACCAACAAAUCUUGAACCCUUUCUUCCUCGCUUUCCACACUGCGAUUCCGUUUUUUUUUUUGUACGAGAUCUUAUUUAAUCCAUAACCGGUGGAGUCCAGCCGACCACCCGUUAAAACCGUUGAACCACCGACCGUCGAAACCGUAGACUCAGAUGGACGGAAACGAACUGUGAUAUUGACGCCGACGGUUUGAUCGAUUCUGGAUUUUGAGCCCGAAACCGUCCGCUGUCUAGCCCUAACUCCAUCUAUCCCUUUUCAUAAGUAUAUGACUUUUUUUUUUUGUCAAAAGAAAAAGUAUAUGACUUUUUUUUCAAAUAUAUUAAAAAAAAUGGUUAACGAAUUUAAUAUGUGUAUUUUAUAUGUAAAUCUUAAAUUUUUCAUAUAUGUCUUUUAAUGUCAAUCUUUAAUUUUUCAUUAGUUUUUCACAUAUAUGUCUUUUAAUGUCAAUCUUUAAUUUUUCAUAUUUCACAAUAAACUUGUAUAAUUAAUUAUGUUUGAGGAAAAAAAUGGCAUCAAGUAAAUUGCAUAUGGUCUUAUAUUUAGAGGGAAUUUUUGUUUUCAAAAAACAGGACGGAGGGAGUAGCUAUUAAGCUGGUCCAAAUUAUUUAAUAGCAUAAUGGAGUUCAAGUGCUCUGGUCAAAAAGAAAAUAUUCAAGAGCAUAUCUGAAUGCUAAAGUCUUUAGCUGGAAACAUGUGAGAACAUAUUUGCACAACACCAGGCAAGGAAAUGUGGUUCUAAAUUCUAAUCUGUAAUGGAUUUUGGGACUUGUGGUAGAUAGAGGUCAUAAUGGAGCUAGUACAUAUAUUUAAGUGGAUCUUCGAGGAUUUAAACCCAAUUGUGUAUCUUGAUUGUUAAACAACGAACAUUGAAUAAAACCAUGCAAUUU
RNAcentral lists this long non-coding RNA (1117 nucleotides) under Medicago truncatula (barrel medic). RNAcentral's name for it is "lncRNA gene772". Lineage: Eukaryota; Viridiplantae; Streptophyta; Magnoliopsida; Fabales; Fabaceae. The record is from RNAcentral.